Molecule: long non-coding RNA, 2881 nt
Organism: Triticum dicoccoides
Lineage: Eukaryota; Viridiplantae; Streptophyta; Magnoliopsida; Poales; Poaceae
Exons: 2
Source: RefSeq, a predicted model, not a curated record
CAUGCCGCACGCUGCCCCUGAACCCUACCUCCUCUCUCGCGCCACCCCCACUGCCCCCCGAGCGUGGCUGCCCCUCCACGGAUCCAAGCUCGUACGCCGCCGCCCCUCCCACCAUGCCAAGCUCGCACGCCACCGCCGCCGGCGCCCCCAACUGGCCGCCCCUCGUCAGUUCGUGUGUUCCAUCCGCACCAAAAAUCACCGUCCCUAGCUUCCCAUGGAUCCCUGCGCGCCGCCGCCCACCAGAAGGAAGCUCUCGUGCUCCCCGACGCCGCUUUCCUUAAGCAUUUGUGCGCUCCAAAAGUCAACGCGACACAGUUGCUUCCUCUGGCAACACCUCCUACCGGCGCCAGCGGUUCUGAGGUUACCUUGUUAGUAGUUCAACUUUGCUAAAUUCUGUAGUUAACCAUUGCUAAAAAUCAUCUUAGAAAUUAUCUCGUUUAAAUAGUUCACCUUUUCUAAAAACAGUAGUUCUCUGGUUAGAAAAACAAUAGUUAUCUCUGCAAGAAAGUAUGACAAUCUUUUGGUAAAGUCUCAGUCUCUUCUCAGUUUUAGUGUACGCUCGCUGGCGAUGCGUCCAGCAUGCUUUCGGUGAUAGCGCCAUAGUGGCCACCACUAAUGGCAUUGGCAGCCAGCAUGCUUGCACAAAAAUAGCUAGCUAGGUGUUCAGGAUCGUCUAUUUUAUCCCUCGAAACAGGAUGCUCAGGACGUCUAUUUUGUUUUCUGAAACACUAGCUAGGUGUUCCCAGUUCAGUACAUGGACUAUCAUCAGCUCUAGUUGCUGCUUCCUGCCACCAACGAAUUGCGCAAGUUCAAAGAGUGUCGCAUGACAAAUUCAAAAGGUGUUGUAUCAUGUAUGGCAAGUUCAGAAUUUUGGUUUCGUGAAAAGUGUGAUUUUGGACAAUAUUUUGUGCGAUUCAAUUGUUCAUCUUCAGAACUUGGAGAUGUUAAGUCUAUUUUUUUCUAUGAUGAAGGUACACAUGAGCUCCAUCUGCAAUGGUUAUCCACCCUAGUGCUUCAAAGAUGCUUAUUUUGUUUCCCCCGUGACGCAUCGAGGAUGAUAGUGACGACACUUACAAAAUUGUUUUCUGUGUUGCUAUGUUAUCAGUCCAAAGUGUGGUGAAGAUGUAGUCCUGGGUGUGUAGAUGAUGUGGUGUGUGUCUGGUUGUGUGUGUGCAUGAUGAUUGGUGGCUGUUGUGUGUGUGUGCAGGGUACCCGGCGACAGCGGGUAGGCGACAAGUGUACUGGUGACCAGCUACCCGGAAAAUGCUGGAACAGGGCUUCCAAAGUAAGCUCCUUGCUUCUUGCUUCUCUUUAAAUCUCUUGAGCUUUACAUGGUAUGUUCAAGACAAGUCCUCUAGUGGUUGUAUUGUAUGACGUUCGUUUAAAUGAUCGACUAUACUGACACCACAUACGUGGAAACUCAAAAUGAAAAUAAAAGGUGUUAAUGGAGAAAUAUAAGAACAAAAACAGGUAUGUGUAGCCAUCUAGCAACGUGGUGAUCAAACAAAAUCCCGACAGCCAACCUCCAUGGUGAUCAAUUCCAUGUGCUUAUGGGUAUGCUUGCUUAGCACAAAAUUCAUAAACUGUCAAUUUAUUUUGAAUUGAACUGAUGCUGCUCUUGAUUCAGACAUGAGGGAGAAGACGGAACUAGAAUGAUUCAGUUCAUCAUUGGCACCCCUGUAAACCAAACAAUGAAGAACACAACCAUUGUACUUUUGCUCUUGUUCUUUCUAUCUCCUGAAUUCCAUGCUUUCUGUGAUGAGCAUGCUUGGUACUAUAUAGAUACUGAUGUUGUAGUUCUAAUACAAUAUAUUACAAGAAUUCAUUGACAAAAAAGGUGUCAGUUCAUAUAUGCAUGCAACAGCUAUUCUGAUACUACUUUAUUAACCAGAAAAACACAAAAGUUCAACUAUACUUAUGCAAAAUAGUUCAGUAUUUUAUUCUAUGACAGUCAAGAAAAACAGAAAAAAGAGGUUCAUCGUGUGAUGAGCAAUAGUCCCAACAACUGUGCUAGAGAUGCAAAAAAUUGAUAGCAUAGCCGAUGCCAUUUUUCAUCCAAUUUCUGAAGAAAACUAAAGUUGAUCAGAGUAACUAAAGAAUGAUCUGUUAGUUCUUGAGUAUGUGUAAUGCUGCCAUUUUACUGUGCAUUUGAUUCCAUCGUGAUGGAUGUAUUACAAAGAUAUGGCUGUAUUACUAUGUUGAAUAAAAAUACCAUUUUGCUGCAACAUUUUCUCAGCUCCUGUCAAGUUAUACAUGUAUGUGAGGAUCCUUCUAUGUAGUAAGUUCAUAGUCGAGAAGUCAGGGACUUCGUAAAUAACGUGAACACCAAAAAACCAUUAAAAAACCUAAACCAUAUGUUAGGGGAGUUCAAGAAGUUCAUGGCUAGCUAUCCGUGUUCUGUAUUCUUAUCAGUUCAUAAUCGAGAAGACAUGUAUUCUUAUCAGUUUGUUUAUCUAGCCCGUCGUGCUGUGUAUUCUGGUCAGUUCGUGUGUGUAUGUGUUGCCCUCGCAGUGUAUGAGAGGCCGCCCGUGAGGAAGUCGCCGAUCUGGUCGAGGCAUGCUGCUAUUCUCUAUAUCCGGCAGCACAAACAUUUAAAAGUUCGACCACCAAACCUUGGUACUAGGUGGUGGCAUUGCUUCACUUCUCUUGUUACGUUCUCUUCGCCCAAAUUCAGAGGAUCAAGAAAAUAAAAUAUCAUUCUUUUGACAUGCACUACUCAAAAGAAAGCAUUUCUGUUGAAAAAUUGUUUCGCUUGACAUGUACUUGCCAACAAUUAUGUAUAAUAAAUCAUGGCAUUGUAUGUAGAAAAAGAUAUAUUGUGUGUUCUGCUAUUGUAUUGAGUUGCUAUCUAUUGCUAAUUGUAUGAUGUUGUUAUUGCUCU